RNAcentral lists this ribosomal RNA (427 nucleotides) under uncultured bacterium. Its description in RNAcentral is "bacterial SSU rRNA". It matches the Rfam family "Bacterial small subunit ribosomal RNA", at positions 354 to 796 of the family's 1533-position model. The record is from RNAcentral.
GUGAGGAAUCUUCCGCAAUGGGCGAAAGCCUGACGGAGCGACACCGCGUGGAGGAUGAAGGCCUUUUGGUUGUAAACUCCUUUUCUGGGGGAAUAACUGAUGAAUGUACCCCAGGAAUAAGCACCGGCUAACUACGUGCCAGCAGCCGCGGUAAUACGUAGGGUGCAAGCGUUAUCCGGAAUUAUUGGGCGUAAAGCGUGCGUAGGCGGUUUGGCAAGUUUGAGGUUAAAUCUGAUCGCUCAACGAUCAAAAUGUCUCAAAAACUAUCAAACUAGAGGAUGAUAAAAGCAACUAGAAUUCUACAUGUAGGGGUAAAAUCCGUUGAUAUGUAGAGGAAUACCAAAAGCGAAGGCAGGUUGCUGGGUCAUUUCUGACGCUGUUGCACGAAAGCGUGGGGAGCAAACAGGAUUAGAAACCCCAGUAGUCC